CUGGUUUUGUGGUCCAGGGUCACACAUAGGCUAUCCACUACUCAGUGUCUAGGGAACAUUGAGCAUUGCGUGAAUCAGACGCAGCGAUGGUCAGCUCUAUUGUAAAGACUGAGGUGACCAGUGUGUCUGUGUCAAGUUCACUGUUCAGCCCACUGUGUUGCGUGUCGGAGAAUCUCGCUGCGUUCAGUUGUAGUGUGGGCGUAGCUGUGCCAUUGACGCUUGAUCGUUGCUGAGGGGGAUUGCCUCGCGAGUGGGCGGGAAACUGAGACCGCGAAAAAGCAAACAGUCAAGCGCGCUCUGUAGCGGAACGUUCUCGCGCGGUUACCAUGACGCUGAGAGUGGGUAAACGCCGCUCUGUCGCGCUGGCUCUGACCUCUGGGUUGGUAUUUGUUUGAGGAUGGGUCAUAAACUUGGCCAGAAUCACGUCUUGGCUGCUGGUUUGGGUGGAGGUGGAAAGAAGCGCUAUACAGCCAGCCUGAAUGUACCUGACGACCUCAGAGACCAGAGUCAAACAGAAACAGACUGGGUGGCAUAUAGUCAUUACAGCGCACACAGAUCAAGGCUUUAUGGGAAGGGAAAAUUUCAGCAGGGGCCCAGAGUUUCUGCCUAUGAGUGCUUUUAAAAAUACUGAACUGCUUUUUAGAGUCAGCUUGUGUAGGUGUAUCUAUUCCUGUAUACUUCUCUCUUGGUCAUGCUUUUUAAAAGAAUUUGUAUUUUAUAGUAACCCAAAUGUAUUUCUGUGUAAUGUGCAUAUCAGUGUUUCUCUUAAUUGCUUAUAUAUUUAUUUUCACAAUGUGUAUUCAUGUCAAUUCUGGAAUUUGCACUGGCGAUCUGGUUUUGUAUUACUUUAUUGGACACUGACAUGUUAAUUAAAAUAUUUUUCCCA
Long non-coding RNA from Cyprinus carpio carpio, 886 nucleotides. The record is from Ensembl. NCBI's taxonomy places the organism in Eukaryota, Metazoa, Chordata, Actinopteri, Cypriniformes, Cyprinidae.